RNAcentral lists this long non-coding RNA (597 nucleotides) under Cricetulus griseus (Chinese hamster). RNAcentral's name for it is "lncRNA (ENSCGRG00000024983.1)". The record is from RNAcentral. Lineage: Eukaryota; Metazoa; Chordata; Mammalia; Rodentia; Cricetidae.
AUUUUCUUUUUAUUUAUUCUUUUCUCAAACAAUACCCCUCAACUGCAGCCUCUUCACCCUCCUGUCCUUCCGGUCCACCCCACUCCCCUAAUCCCCCAUAUCAACUGCUUCUCUGUUUCCUUCAGAAAAAGAGCAGGCAUCCCACAGAUACCAACCGAUCUCAACCCAACAAGGCGCAAUAAGACAGGCACAAGUCCUCAUAUGCUCAAGUAUGUAUUCAUACCAUUUGAAAACAACAUUGGCCUGCAGCUCUUCUGUCACAACUGUGUACUCUCCUUUGUAAUUUCAUUGCCAAGAGCCCUCAUCCAGUGGCUGAUGGAGAAGAACACCCACAGAUACACACUUGUAGGGGAAGACUUAGGGGCUGGCUACAGGUGUGUCUGACCACGCUUGUGAGGGCGUGGUCAGAGUGACGUAAUGUGACUGCGUUUGCGCUUUCGGUUUCACUUUGCUUCUUUCUGUACAGACUGCUGCCACGCCAGCUGGCUAGGUCGCUCUGUAAGUAAGGCUUUUCCCUAUUAAAUACCCUUAUAUUUCUACCUGACUCUGUAUUGGUAAUUUCCCACUAUAUCUGGUGUCAGAAGUAGGAUAUUGGAA